Molecule: ribosomal RNA, 376 nt
Filed under: uncultured crenarchaeote
Lineage: Archaea; Thermoproteati; Thermoproteota
Description: bacterial SSU rRNA
Rfam family: Archaeal small subunit ribosomal RNA
Source: RNAcentral
AAACCUUCGCAAUGCCCGAAAGGGUGACGAGGCUACCCCGAGUGUCGUCCGCUAAGGACGACUUUUGUCGGGUCUAAAAAGCCCGACGAAUAAGGGGAGGGCAAGUCUGGUGUCAGCCGCCGCGGUAAUACCAGCUCCCCGACUGGUCGGGACGAUUAUUGGGUCUAAAGCGUCCGUAGCCGGCCCUGUAUGUGGUCCGUUAAAUCCAGCGGCUCAACCGCUGGGCUGCGGAUCAUACUAUGGGGCUAGGGGACGGGAGAGGCCGGGGGUACUCCGCGGGUAGGGGUAAAAUCCGCUGAUCCGCGGAAGACCAACAGUGGCGAAGGCGCCCGGCCAGAACGCGCCCGACGGUGAGGGACGAAAGCCAGGGGAGCGA